AGGACGAACGCUGGCGGCGUGCUUAACACAUGCAAGUCGAGCGACAGUGUUCUUCGGAACAUAUGGAGCGGCGAACGGGUGAGUAACACGUGGGCAACCUGCCCCUAGCUCUGGGAUAACUCCGGGAAACCGGGGCUAAUACCGGAUACGAUCUUCCAUGGCAUCUCGGAAGAUGGAAAGUUUUUUCGGCUAGGGAUGGGCCCGCGGCCUAUCAGCUUGUUGGUGAGGUAACGGCCCACCGAAGGCGACGACGGGUAGCCGGCCUGAGAGGGCGACCGGCCACGACGUGGGACUGAGACACGGCCCAGACUCCUACGGGAGGCAGCGAGUGGGGAAUAUGCGCAAGUGGGACGAAAGCCUGACGCAGCGACGCGCGUGAGGGAUGAAGGCCUUCGGUAGUAACCUCUUUCGAGCCGAGGACGAAGCGAGAGUGACGGACUGCAAGAGAAGCACCGGUCCAACUACGUCGACC
Molecule: ribosomal RNA, 472 nt
Filed under: uncultured soil bacterium
Lineage: Bacteria
Description: bacterial SSU rRNA
Rfam family: Bacterial small subunit ribosomal RNA
Source: RNAcentral